This 561-nucleotide ribosomal RNA is filed under the name Heterothyone alba. RNAcentral describes it as "partial 16S ribosomal RNA". It matches the Rfam family "Bacterial large subunit ribosomal RNA", at positions 1799 to 2620 of the family's 2925-position model. Lineage: Eukaryota; Metazoa; Echinodermata; Holothuroidea; Dendrochirotida; Heterothyonidae. The record is from RNAcentral.
CCUGUUUUAUCAAAAACAUAGCCCCUUGAAUAAAUAAGGGGUCAAGCCUGCCCAAUGGAAAAAUCUAAAUGGCCGCGGUAUCUUGACCGUGCAAAGGUAGCAUAAUCAUUUGUCUCUUAAAUGGGGACCUGUAUGAAUGGCCCAACAUUUUCUAACUGUCUCUUUUCUUCUUCCCUUAAACUUCUAAUAACGUGAAGAAGCGUUAAUUAAAAAGAAAGACGAGAAGACCCUGUCGAACUUAAACUUCUAGAGGAAAAACAAAUCUCUGACUCAAAGAAAUCUCAUCUUUCCAGAAGUUUUGGUUGGGGCAACCAUGGAGAAAAAACACCCUCCAGAAAAAUAAAAGAUAUAUUUAUCAUUUAAUAUGUAAACAAAAAACCAUUAAACAAUGAAAACAGAAAAAGUUACCGCAGGGAUAACAGCGUCAUCUCCUUUAAGAGUUCAUAUUGACAAGGAGGAUUGCGACCUCGAUGUUGGAUUGGGGCUACCAAAGGGUGCAGCAGCUCUUUAGGUUGGACUGUUCGUCCAAUAAUCCCCUACGUGAUCUGAGUUCAGACCGGA